CUCUGAUCUUGACUUUUUGGUUCACUGUGAUGUGAACGGGAUUGGAUGUAAUCUCUCUUUUUUAUCAUCUUAAUAUAAUUUUCGCCUUUAUGGAAAAAAAUCAAUAAAUUUUUAAAAUAUGAAAAAAGGGUGAACAAGAAAUUAUAUCAUAUUUACAAGAAAACAAAUAAGUUUUCAUGUGGGAAAUGAAUGUAAAAUAUGAUGUAAUUAUGUAAUAAUGAGAGGCAGGUGUUUGGACCAUGUUUCUUUGCCCAUACUCUCUUCUCAUAUCUUUCUCUUAUUGUUGUCCCAGUGUGAUUUCUUGUGACCAGAUGAUUUGUAUAACCUUUUCUUUUACAGGUUAUAACCUGAACUUUGCACAGGACCAAUUCUAAUGAUUCUUGAUCCAUUGUUUGUAGAGAAGAAAACAUCAUAAUUAGUGAUACCUUAUUUUUGUCCUCUUUCAUGUUCCAAACAUGAGCAUGAAUCAUUUGUCUGUUAACCACAUCACUGGUAACUGAGAAUGUUAGAGAUGAGACAACCUAUCACAAGUCCUUGUAAAGAAGGUGGUCUUUAUUUAUUUGACACUGGACAAAGUGCCAUAUUUGAUUCUCAACUUAGGAUCCAAAUCUGAAUAUAAUAAGGCUUAAGUAUUUAAAUGAGGAUUCAGAUAACAUGCAUUAAAAUAAAACUACUUUUGAAACAACAAGGUUGGAUGUUGGAUUUUUAAGUUUAUAUAUCCAGUUACUAACUGAUGUUUAUAUUUGUGAAAAUUCAAUAAUUUAUGGAUGAAAUAGAAAUUUUAUUUAUGAAAUAACUUAUAGAUUUAAACUAUCUUUAUUGUGUCACAUAGUAAAAUUAUUUGUUGAUUGAAUAAACUCUGUUAAGACUGCAAGUGUUAGAACUUGAAAAGGUAUAUUCACAUGAACAGUAAUGAGCUUUAGGAUUAGAUAGGGGAAAGGGUUUAAGGAGUUUCAAUCGUUGGCAUGUCAUAAAUAGUAAUGAACAAAGGUGGGAGAUUGUUAGGAUUAGAUAUGUGAAGCAACCUGUGUCGAUAUUCAUGUUCUUGCUCACCUGCCUGCACGUGCAAUUCUAGUCAGGUUUCAGUUUUCAGGCGUGGAUCCUGCUAGAUGGUAAUCUGGUAUACUAUUAGGUGUAAAAAUCAGUAUACUACGGAUAUAGCUCCUAAUAUAAUCAAGAUAUCUUUAUUUUCAUUUGUCGUCCUUCAUAGUCCUGCAUAUUUCCUUGGGAAAAUUAUGGAAAAAGCUCCUCUUAUUAGAUUUUUUUUGGAAAGUGUCCUCAUUUUUAAAAUUUUCUAAUAUCGUCAAUUUUUUUUUCCUAAUACCUCGAAAACACUUGACUUGAUAGUUAGUCGUGUACUCUUUCUUCCUUCUAUUUCCUCCGUUUUCUUAUGGUUCGAUUCAUAGGAUGAAUCAAUUUAGAUACUAUGUUAGAGAGUUUUUUUCUGGUAAUACAGGAAAACACUGACACAUUACAUAUUUUUUUCAUACAAAUUUUGUAAAAAUAAUAUUUUUAUACUAUAUUAUAGCGUUUCAACAAUAUCAGAAAAAUACUGUAACAUAGUGAAAAAAUUGUAUAACUGGACUAAUUCACCCUAUUGACCAAUCCAUAAGAAAAGGGACAGGUGACUAGGGGUAAUCCAGGUGUUAGGGGCAAAAAAAAUAAAAGAUGCUGUUAAGGAAUUUUAAAAAUGGAGGUACUUUUGGUUUUGGAAAAAAAAGUCCAAAAGGGUUUUUUUUUUUGUUGAGAAUUCAUCCUAUUUCUUUGACUUGAUGUUUCUUCACCAGCAUUAAAAUUUGCAACUACCUCAGUUCCAAAUUUGUUUUUCGAACUAAUACAAGCUUCUGAACUAUGUGUAGUAAAUAUUUUUGUAAUAGUUUCAAGAAUUUAUAUUUCAUAGUCUUUUUCAACUUAAAAGCUUUUUAUUCAAUGUAUAUGUACCCUUGAGAGUGGUCAACAUGUUUUGCAGGUGGCAGGCUAAUAACUGUGUUCUGUUCUUGUGCAUGUUGCAUGAUGUACAUGUUUGCUGGUUAGAUGCAUUGGUACAGUAUGAUUGACGUACACCGUUAUGGACCUACUUGGGAUAACUACACGCCCUAACAUAUGAUUGAUCUAAGUACAUCAACUGGCAUGACAUAGCAUGUUACGUACCACGAGACCUUGAUUGACAUAGGCACAAUGAUUGACAACUUUGAAUUGCAUUCGGUCACGUAAGUGAUCUUUUGUAAUUACAUAAGUUGUACACGGAAGUUGAUAUUUUUCAACAAGUAUUUGUAAGUACAUAAAAAAAUGAAUUUUUCAGUUACAAUGGAGGUACUGCUUUGUGUUGUUUUGAUCCACCUCAUACAUUUGUCACCAAGACUUAGUUAAUGUUGAUGAUCAAGUUCCUAUGGAUGCCUCUUUCUUAACUGGAGAAUAGAACUUAAUGGAACAUUUGAUCUUUGCUACUGAAAAAUCUGCCUUACCAUGAAUCUUUUGUCACUAGCUAUCAUGAUCCUUAUUUACUAGCACGUGGUACAUGUCUUUGUUUAUGCAUGUGAAGAUAUGUUUAUCCCUCUUUUGUUUGGUUUUUACUUUUUAGUGCUAUCGACGAAAGAAUUUGCAGAUGACAGGUUGAUUACUAAACUUCAUACUAAUAAUUUUGAUGACAUUUAUUUUAGUCACUUUAAUUGCCAAUUGUAGUGAAAGAAUCAGAAAUUGAUGUGUAAAAAUUACUUAUUUGCUACUUCCUACUUGUUUGUUAUAGAGCUAUGUUGAAAGAAGAUUGACAGCAACAAUUUAGGUUGCAUAAAAUUACAUGAUAACACAGAAAAUUAGUGUACAGCCAAACAAAGAGGAAAUUUUUUGUCGUUUGUUUAAUACACAAUGUCUAACCUAUAAAUAUAUAGGCAGACUCUACAAGCAGAAACGAAGUUGAUAGAUUUCUGAAAUGCAAUUUUUGAAGUUUGAACAAUGUCAACAUUUUACAUUUGGUGGUGACUCGUAAAUGGAAAACCAUCAAACACAAAUUUCAAUGGCCUGUGUGGUUUAAGUUGUGAACUAAAUGUGUCCAUGGUCAACUUAGCCUACACAAGUUCCUUAUAUUGUCGUCUUAUCUAGCCUUGAGGUCUUUUUUUUUUGUGUACAUACAAUGGGUCAGCUUGUAUUUUGAUUUGGAAGCUUCAUGUUGAAAAAUGUCUUAAUACUUUAUUCGAUGCAUGAUAUUUUGGUUUUCUCAUCACUCAUGGAAGUAUAUUAACUUCACCCACCAUAUAUCUUUCUCAAAAAACGUGACUAUGGAUCCUGCUAGAUGUGAAAUUUGAUACUUUCACUUACCCACAUGCACGUGUGAUUCCAGUCAGGUUUUAGGUUUCAGGCGUGGAUUCCAACUUUGUUUUUUCCAACUAAUACAAGCUUUAGACGGAAGUAAUAAAGAAUCUUUGUAAUAGUUUCAAGAAUUUAUAAUGCAUGAUUUUUCAAAAGCUUUUUAUUCAAUGUGUAUGUACCUUGUAGAGUGAUCAACAAGUUUUGUAGGUAGCACAGCUCUGAAUUGUGCUCUGUGCUUGUGCAUUUUGCAUGAUGUACAUGUUUUCUGGUUAGCUACAGAUGCACCGAUACAGUCUGAUUGAUGCACACCAUCAGGUACCUACUUGCCCUAACAUGUGAUUGAUUGGUCGAAGUACAUCAAUGGCAGGAUACCAUGUGAGACAGAGAUUGACGCAGUCAUAGCAAUUGGUACUAUGAACUGUAUUUGGUCACAUAACUGAUCUUUCUCAUGAUGUUGAUAGUUUUGAACGAGUAUUUUUAAGUAUAUAGAAAUGGAUCCAUGCUUGGUUUAGUUUGAAAUUAAAACUUAAUUUGCUUUAUUAAUGUCUACUUUAAAACUUAUUGUUAUGUUUUUAACUGAAGUUUAAAAUGCUAAAUGAAAACUUUUAACAAAAAUCAUACCUUAGUUGCAGAUAGAUCAGAGUGAAAGAGAGCUCUAAUUGAGAGGAAAGAUGCAGCCUCGUCAGAUCACUGAAUGAGAGAGAAAGAAAAAGAAAGAGAGAGGAAUCGAAGAGAUGGCAUGAAAGAGACAUUUUAAGCACCAUGACAUGAUAACUUCGAAAAAUGAAAAGAAAGCUAGAUGGCUUGGCUUCCAUGCUUUUGAGGGCUUCAGUGGAUCGAGUUGGUGCAUAAUCCAGGACUUGGUUUCAGUCUACUUGUUUGAUCUCCAGCGAUAACCCGGUUCUGGUGCAUGAAAGGAGGUAAAUCACCUUUUACAGUCACCAGAUAAUGAGCAUAGACUGGAAUGAGGUCGAUAAGGAUUACAUCAUUGAAGAAGAAUAAUGAUCAUAAAUAAGCCAUCCAAUCAAAUAUGCAUUUGUAUGAUGAUAAGGAUGGAAACAUCAAAUGGCCAAAGAUCUGAAGGAUGCAAAUAUCAUUUCCAUCGCAAAACAAAGAUGCAAAUGCCUACAGAAAAACAUGUUCAGGGGAUUCAUUGGCUGCCACUAUAUCAGAGUUUCCAGCCACAAACUCCUCAAGGGUCAGAGCAGGGAGGGAGAGAAACUCCGGAGCUCCAUCCCGGUUGUGCAAUGUGAUAAUCGUCCUCGAUCCAUCGCAUCCAAUUGCAAACAACUGAGCCAUGCUCUUGAUCAGUCGCUGCAGCGCUGCAGAUAUGUUGUGCCUCGGAAGAGGAGGAAACCCCAGCGAUCUCUUCAUCUCCAACCUCGGUAAGCUCUCUUGUACACCUUUUGAUAACAAAAAGAAGUUUCUCCUGGUAUCAUUUACUGAAAGGAACACAGAAUGGCAUUGAGAGAAAGAAUGAGAAGUUUACUUUGCGAUGAUUGAGUGAUUCUGUCGGGGCUUUCUUGUGCUGCUUUCUAUCAACCGAAAUAUCUCAUUGCCUAUUAAUGGAGAUGGAAAGGGCACAAUGGAGUGCAACAGAAGAAAGAAGGGACCUGCAGACAGAAUGGCUUAUCAUGACAUGGGGAAGUGUUUGUUGAAAUCUUUGACGAUGGAUGUCAUUGACUUGGUCAGCAAGUUAGCAGAUCUCCAUAGUCUAUAGCAGGGCAUAGACGUGUGGUUGGUUGCUACUUUACUCGUUGCUGGUUGCAGUGCCGCCUGUAGUCCUGUCUUGUGUUUCUGAGAAGCCUCCUAUGGUGUGGCAAAUAUGUGUAGCUAUUCUGUUGUGUCACUCACUGCCUCUCCCUUUUGAUCACUCAAAAUCUUAUCAAGAGUGCAAUCCAAGCAAUUCAUCCAAUCAUCCAGAACUGAUGCCAUCAUUUAGAAACAAGAUCAAGAACCUCCGAGUCAGUCAGGCGGUCACAGGAAAAAAGAAAAGAAAAAGGAAGAGAUAUGGGAGACUCCACUGUCGCUUUCUUUUGUUUGGAAUAUUGAAUGCUCUGGAGUGGACAAUGAUCAAGUACAAGUCACCAUCGGAAUCUAUAUCCAAGGAUGCUGCAGUCCUUUUGCUGGCCUUAAAAGCAAAUGGAGUUUUGAGGGCUCCAGUUAAUUCUUUUGGAGUAUGUAACUUCAAUUCUUCUCUCCAACAAAUAAUCAUCCCAUCCCAUGGAAAUUUUAUUGUGCGAGUUCCCAACACUCGAAUGUAUCUGGUAAUCAUCUGUGACCUAUUCUGUAAUCUUCACUCGGAAGCCAUCUGCUGCCAUCAGCCCCCAUCACUGUUCAGGUAUCAGUCACUGUCAUCUUCACUUCUGUUUUUUUCCUUGCCGAUUUGAGACAGAGCUUUCAAUUUGAGUUGGAUUAAACAUGGUUCAAUAUGUAGUUAAACUGUCCAAUUGUAAGUUGACACAUAAUUUUUUUUUGGACAGACUUAUCUUACCCUAAAUCCAAUCUGUUGUUAGCCAACUUUAUAAAAUAAUAUAUGGCGUCUUAAGCACUUUUUAAAUAAUUUUCAA
Molecule: long non-coding RNA, 5876 nt
Organism: Musa acuminata AAA Group (dessert banana)
Lineage: Eukaryota; Viridiplantae; Streptophyta; Magnoliopsida; Zingiberales; Musaceae
Exons: 5
Source: RefSeq, a predicted model, not a curated record